This 250-nucleotide ribosomal RNA is filed under the name uncultured bacterium. Its description in RNAcentral is "partial 16S ribosomal RNA". It matches the Rfam family "Bacterial small subunit ribosomal RNA", at positions 524 to 773 of the family's 1533-position model. The record is from RNAcentral.
UACGAACUGCGCAAACGUUAUUCGGAAUCACUGGGCUUACAGGGUGCGUAGGCGGCCAGUCAGGUCCGGUGUGAAAUCCCUCAGCUCAACUGAGGAAUGGCAUUGGAAACCGGCUGGCUCGAGUGAGCUAGAGGUACACGGAACUUCCGGUGGAGCGGUGAAAUGUGUUGAGAUCGGAAGGAACACCAGAGGCGAAAGCGGUGUACUGGAGCUUGUCUGACGCUGAGGCACGAAAGCCAGGGGAGCGAAC